UGCAGCUCUACGGUCAGCCUGCCUCAGAGCUAGACGUAGGAUGCAAAGAGCUCGCACCGAGGAUGCAAGAGAGAACCGCCGUGAAGUGUUUCGAGCUGCGAAAUUGGCCCUUAACAAGGCUAUUAAAAGCCGUAAGAGAGCGUGUUUCGACAACCUGUGACCUACAGGUGUAACCGCUUGUUACAAUGUUGAUUGUCGGCUUCGCCACAAUGAAAAUGUACUCUAGAUUAGCUCAAUUAAUUCCAACAAUCCUAAGUCCUACCCUAGGUAUAUUGUCAGCUGUGUGAGUGGUAGUCCUCCAAGUCUGACGUUUACGUCUGGGACGGAGGAGUCACUCACGCGGGAGCACUCUCAACUAGGGUAACUCAAUCACAACGGUUUGAGCGAAUGACGUCGCGCAACAUGUCAUUCAUCGCUGUUGCAGCAAUGGGAAGGGCUGCCAGGUUUAAACAAUGGAAGUGUCAGAUCGGAUGAUAUGGAGAAAAUUGAGGUUUUCUUGGUACCAUCCGAGCCUAGUCAGACUCAGCAAUGACCAAGAACGGUCUUUCGGUCCUCAGCAUUCGAGGAAAUAAGAAGUGCGCGCGGUUUUGUUUUAAUUACAGGAAGGUUAGUCGAUUAAUAGAAAGUAAAACAGAUUAAAAUGUGUUAAAUAUAAAAAUUCUUUUGUACGUGUCACAGACAGGGAAGACGAACACGGAAAAUCACGAAACACCUACAAAUUAAAAAUAAGAUAAAAAGGUCCCCAGCGGGCCUUUUUAUUUCGGGCUUUGAACUUCGUUCGAAGCGGUUUAAUUCGCAGGAAGAAAUCGUGAUGACGAAGAGCUACCAGUACGACGCGCCCGAAGGUUCGUCGCCAUUGUUCUAAUGAACAGCUUUCCUUCUACAAGCAAGGAUCAAGCCCGUACAAGAGCGACGGGAAGGUCGUCGCCAUAUUGUCUGCGGAAUCAGUUUCCUGCAACGAGCUAUAUCCGCACCGCUUCCUGCUAACACAACAGCCGCAUGAGUCAUCGCAACGGAAAGACUGUUGACAUUUUGCCUUAUACUACAAGUUUUCGCCCGUUAUCAUCGAUGGUUAGCUUCGCCAAUCCUACACCAACAAAUAACCCGCAAGUAGUAGAUUAGAUAAGUGACGUCACAUAGAAUUAAGAACAAAAAGGGGGGGGGGAUUAAAAUAAAU
Molecule: long non-coding RNA, 1177 nt
Organism: Topomyia yanbarensis
Lineage: Eukaryota; Metazoa; Arthropoda; Insecta; Diptera; Culicidae
Exons: 4
Source: RefSeq, a predicted model, not a curated record